CCUACGGGGGGCAGCAGUGAGGAAUAUUGGACAAUGGGCGAAAGCCUGAUCCAGCCAUGCCGCGUGAGUGAUGAAGGCCCUAGGGUUGUAAAGCUCUUUCAGCGGGGAAGAUAAUGACGGUACCCGCAGAAGAAGCCCCGGCUAACUUCGUGCCAGCAGCCGCGGUAAUACGAAGGGGGCUAGCGUUGUUCGGAAUUACUGGGCGUAAAGCGCACGUAGGCGGAUUGCUAAGUCGGGGGUGAAAUCCCGAGGCUCAACCUCGGAAUUGCCUUUGAUACUGGCUGUCUUGAGUCCGGGAGAGGUGAGUGGAAUUCCUAGUGUAGAGGUGAAAUUCGUAGAUAUUAGGAAGAACACCAGUGGCGAAGGCGGCUCACUGGCCCGGUACUGACGCUCAUGUGCGAAAGCGUGGGGAGCAAACAGGAUUAGAUACCCCAGUAGUC
This 440-nucleotide ribosomal RNA is filed under the name uncultured bacterium. Its description in RNAcentral is "bacterial SSU rRNA". It matches the Rfam family "Bacterial small subunit ribosomal RNA", at positions 338 to 795 of the family's 1533-position model. The record is from RNAcentral.